AGUAGAGAGUGGUGGAGAGAAAGAGAGAAGGUCAGAGAGGUCAGUAAAGUCCAGACCAUGCACAGCUUCAGGUCAGGUGAAGAAUGGGAAGCUAUUGGCAGAUUUUAAGCAGGGGAAUGUCAUGAUCUAAUGUUUUCAAAAGACCACUCUAGCAGGAGUGUGGUGGAGUGAGAGUGGGUGUGGGAAGAGCAGUUAUAUGACCAUUUAAGCGAUCUUAGCAGACAUGAUGGCAGCUCUGCAAUGAAGACCAGGAGAUGAACACGGGAUACAUUUUGGAGUUGUAGCUGAUCGGGCAUACUGAUGGAUUAGAGGGGGGUAGCAGUAAGCAAGGUAACUGCACUGGGGAAAAGAUUAUAUCCAAAACUUUUGGAUUGCUCGACAUUAGAUGUUAACUCUGAGCUAAUACUAAUUUCCAGGGACCCAGAAUGAACUUAUCAAUGGAUAUCAGGAAUGGAGAUGACACAUGAAUAAGCACAGUAACAAGGAUUUCCCCUCACCAGGAUGACGUGGCCUUUGCCAUUGCUGAGAACCCAUUUUGCACGCAAUGUUUUCCCGGAUAAUAAAUGACACAGCUGGGAUUUAUUCAGGUGUUCUGACUCCAAAGUCCUUGCUCCUGAUCACCAUGCGCUACCGACUUUGAGCAGUGAUGUCUCACAGAUGGGAAUGAUUCCUCUGAAGAUUGAAUAGAGAAUGCCACCAUGUGAAGUGAUAUUUGAGCUGGAACCUGAGUGAAUGAUGGAAUGGAGAAGUCAGGUACAGAGCUGUGGGGAUAGCAUCACAGGUAGGUGGGAUAGGACAGGCAAACCUCCGGAGGUGGGAGCAGAAUUGGUGCAUUGGCUGUGGUACCUUUCCAUGAUUUCCUCAUUCCAGUGUUCAUAUCUUUAGAAGAUCUCAACCCAUUGAUUGUAGGUGAUAUCUGUGAUUUACUCUAGCCAAUCUAUAUAACAUGACAAAAAUGAUGGAUGUCACUCCUGUAAUUAUUUUAUGUGAUGAUCCA
This 997-nucleotide long non-coding RNA is filed under the name Homo sapiens (human). RNAcentral's name for it is "HSALNT0322792". The record is from RNAcentral. Lineage: Eukaryota; Metazoa; Chordata; Mammalia; Primates; Hominidae.